AUUCGCGGCCUAUCAGCUUGUUGGUGGGGUAACGGCUCACCAAGGCAUCGACGGGUAGCUGGUCUGAGAGGAUGAUCAGCCACAUUGGGACUGAGAUACGGCCCAGACUCCUACGGGAGGCAGCAGUGGGGAAUCUUGCGCAAUGGCCGCAAGGCUGACGCAGCGACGCCGCGUGUGGGAUGACGGCCUUCGGGUUGUAAACCACUGUUGGGAGGGACGAAGGCCCGGAAACGGGAUUGACGGUACCUCCAGAGGAAGCACCGGCUAACUCCGUGCCAGCAGCCGCGGUAAUACGGAGGGUGCGAGCGUUGUCCGGAAUCACUGGGCGUAAAGGGCGCGUAGGCGGCGCGUUAAGUCGGAUGUGAAAUUCCGGGGCUCAACUCCGGGCCGGCAUCCGAGACUGGCGUGCUUGAGCGUGGUAGAGGCGGGUGGAAUUCCCGGUGUAGCGGUGGAAUGCGUAGAGAUCGGGAAGAACACCGGUGGCGAAGGCGGCUCGCUGGGCCGUUGCUGACGCUGAGGCGCGAAAGCGUGGGGAGCAAACAGGAUUAGAUACCCUGGUAGUCCACGCCGUAAACGAUGGGUACUAGGCGUCGGGGGGAGCGACCCCCUCGGUGCCGUCGCUAACGCAGUAAGUACCCCGCCUGGGGAGUACGGAAUCGUCGACCCGCCAGGGCCCC
Molecule: ribosomal RNA, 677 nt
Filed under: uncultured actinomycete
Lineage: Bacteria; Bacillati; Actinomycetota; Actinomycetes; Actinomycetales
Description: bacterial SSU rRNA
Rfam family: Bacterial small subunit ribosomal RNA
Source: RNAcentral